RNAcentral lists this long non-coding RNA (2241 nucleotides) under Elaeis guineensis (African oil palm). RNAcentral describes it as "long non-coding RNA (EGUI_LNC057017)". Lineage: Eukaryota; Viridiplantae; Streptophyta; Magnoliopsida; Arecales; Arecaceae. The record is from RNAcentral.
CAGAUCGUAGGUUGCGAUUACCGUUUAUCAUGUCUUGAUUUUUCAUAUUCUUUCUGAUUAUUGAAUCUAAUUAUGUAUAGAGAUAUAGUUGUCUCAAUAAGAAAAUAUUCAAUGAUGGGAUACCGUGAUAUGAUCUAUGAAUUAAAGAUUUUGAAAAAAAAUUAUGUAAUUAUAUGAGUUUAUUGAAGUAUGUGUGAGGUAAGUAAUAUAACUCUUUUCUUAGAUUUAUCGAUAAAUUACAUAGUAUUUAUAUUAUUGAAUUUUGAAUCAUAUUAUUUAUGAUUUAUAAAUAUGAGGUAUGAUAUUUAUUGGUUAAAUUUAUUAUAGAAUACCAUUAAUGCAUUAUUGAAGGCAUUGAUUUCAUUAUGGAGUUGUGAUUGAUUAAUUUUGAUUUCAGAUAGUUUUGUGUAUUAUUCAAUUGAAUACAAAAUUGAUUUUAUUGAAGAGAGAUAUAUGAAUUGAGAUGGAUUUUGACUCAUAGCCUAAUUAUGUAUCGAAAUCCUACCAAUGAAGAUUAUAUAUUGGCAUAUCAAUAUGCUACAAGUGGGGGGUUAUAUGUUGGUAUAUUGAUAUCUUGCCAAUAGAAAUUAUGUGUUGGUACAUUGAUAUCCUGCUAGUGAAGUUAUGUGUUGAUAUAUCGAUAUCCUGUUAGUGAGGUUUGUGCAUUGAUAUAUCGAUACUCUAUCAGUGGGGUUUGUAUGUUGAUACAUCCACACUCUGCUAGUGGGGUUGGCACUGGCACUGGUAUAUUGACACCCUAUUAGUGUGGUUAUGUGCUGGUAUAUUGAUAUCCUGUUAGUAGAGAUUAUGUGCUAGUAUAUUAGCACCCUAUUAGUGGGGGUUAUACGUUGGUUUAUCAAUAUCCUGUCAGUGAAGGUUAUGUGCUGGUAUAUCGAUAUUCUAUCCGUGGGGAGUUAUACAUUGAGACUUUGUCUAUUUUGAGCUUAUCUAACCUAGCUAUAGGAUAUAAGUAUGAUCAUAGUUUAUGGCUAUUGAGGUGAACCAGAUAUUUUGAAAAAAAUUGAUUUAUGAAUAAAAAUAAAUAAAAAAUAAAUUUUUUAAAAAAUUUGAAUUUGUAUGGAUUUUAUUUUGAUUAGUAUUGUAUAUUUGAAUUAUGCAUCUUGCAAGUUUAUUUUUUAGUAUAAUAUUAUUGUUUAAUUUAUCUAGCCAAAAGAUAUAUUACUUACUGGGCUGUCUAGCUCAUUACUCUAUAUUUUAUUAUUUUUACAGAUUUAGAGGAUUAACUUGACUUAUGGAUUCAUUAUGGAAAAGCAAAUUAGAGACAAAAUUUGACAGCUUUAUUUUUAGAUUAGGAUUUAUUAAUGUUGAUAAAAAACUAUAAAAUAUUAUUUUAUAAGAUAUUUGAUUUAGUUAUUUUAACUAAAGUUGAAUGUUAAUUAUUUAAAUUUUAUUCUACUGUUGUUUUAUGAUAUCGUGAUGAGAUGCCUUACAUGCUUGUGAGAAAAUUUUUUUAUAAGUAUGCAGUGGUUGUCACGAUCCCUGACUCUCAGAUCUUGGAUCGGAGAAGUGAUAGAUCUGCUCAAUUUGACAUGCCGGCAACCUAAUUAGUCUUAGUUUAGUUUUUUCUGAAAACAUCUUUUGGCACUCUGAGGGGAUUAGUGAGAUAGAAUACGAAGGAAAACCUCUAAAGAGAGUAAGCUAGGGUGAAACUCUCCGAGGGAAUGAUCAUCCAUUUGACAUGCCAGCAACCUAAUUAGUCUUAGUUUAGUUUUUUCUGAAAACAUUUUUUUGGCACUCUCAUGGGACUUAGUGAGAUAGAAUAUGAAGGAAAACCUCUAAGAAAGUAAGCUAGGGUGAAACUCUCCAAGAGAAUGAUCAUAUUGAGCCCAUCUACCCUUCAAUUAAGAGAUGCGAAGAUUCUCUCCGUAAGGAAUGACUUCGUGGUCAUAGACAAAAGCGGCGACUGGCGAUGAGAAAGGAGGCCAUGAAGUGGUUGAAGAAUCUGACUAGAAUACGGUUAAUGAUAAAAAUAAUGUCCUUGAAUUGGACAAUAAUGGCCAAAAGGAUGGUCCUGAUAAAGGACAACUCAACGAGGCCUCAAUAAAAAAAAAUGAAAGUAUCAUUGCACAAGCACUGUAACCCUUUAUCGAGGUCUUUCUUGAUCGUCAAAAAACCUUUAAAAUAUAACAAAGGCAAAUGGGAUAUAAAGUAACUCGUGCUAUGGAGAGGAGCAGCAGCGGAGUUACGUGUGCUACCCAGCAGCCAAUCUCUGAGGGUCAG